RNAcentral lists this ribosomal RNA (523 nucleotides) under Anadia ocellata. Its description in RNAcentral is "partial 16S ribosomal RNA". It matches the Rfam family "Bacterial large subunit ribosomal RNA", at positions 1808 to 2608 of the family's 2925-position model. The record is from RNAcentral. Lineage: Eukaryota; Metazoa; Chordata; Lepidosauria; Squamata; Gymnophthalmidae.
CAAAAACAUUGCCUUUAGCACAAAGUAUUAAAGGUAUCGCCUGCCCAGUGAAUAUUAAACGGCCGCGGGAUCCUCACCGUGCAAAGGUAGCAUAAUCACUUGUCCCCUAAAUAGUGACUAGUAUGAAUGGCUAAAUGAAGAUUUUACUGUCUCUUAUAGCUAAUCUAUGAAACUAAUCUAUCAGUACAAAAACUGGUAUAUUAACAUAAGACGAAAAGACCCUGUGGAACUUCAAGCACAACUCAACACCAUGACCCCUUGCUUUUAGUUGGGGCAACUUUGGAAAUAAACAAAACUUCCAAUCCCUAUAAAGAUAAACAUAUCAACAAACACACUUUGUACUAGACCCAGUAAUUAUACUGAUCAAAGAACCAAGCUACCCCAGGGAUAACAGCGCUAUCCCCUCCAAGAGCCCAAAUCGACGAGUGGGGUUUACGACCUCGAUGUUGGAUCAGGGCCCCCAAACAGUGCAACAGCUGUUAAUGGUUUGUUUGUUCAACAAUUAAAGCCCUACGUGAUCUGA